Molecule: non-coding RNA, 203 nt
Filed under: Boseongicola aestuarii
Lineage: Bacteria; Pseudomonadati; Pseudomonadota; Alphaproteobacteria; Rhodobacterales; Paracoccaceae
Source: RNAcentral
CAGAGUGUUGAUAGCUUCGGUUCCGGCGGGUGACUGCCGGGCAAAAGGGAACGCGGUGCGGGCUUUGGCCUUAUUCCGUGACUGCCCCCGCAACUGUAAGCGGCGAGCGACGGCUGAGCGCGCCACUGGACGUAACGUCUGGGAAGGCAGGCCCGAGCUACGACCCGCGAAGUCAGGAGACCUGCCGAGGCGUUCACCCAGUU